RNAcentral lists this non-coding RNA (24 nucleotides) under Arabidopsis thaliana (thale cress). Lineage: Eukaryota; Viridiplantae; Streptophyta; Magnoliopsida; Brassicales; Brassicaceae. RNAcentral also lists the same sequence under 2 other names. The record is from RNAcentral.
CGGGACCCGAAAGAUGGUGAACUA